Molecule: ribosomal RNA, 466 nt
Filed under: uncultured bacterium
Lineage: Bacteria
Description: partial 16S ribosomal RNA
Rfam family: Bacterial small subunit ribosomal RNA
Source: RNAcentral
GAUGAACGCUGGCGGCGUGCUUAACACAUGCCAGUCGAACGAUGAAGCCCAGCUUGCUGGGUGGAUUAGUGGCGAACGGGUGAGUAACACGUGAGUAACCUGCCCUUAACUCUGGGAUAAGCCUGGGAAACUGGGUCUAAUACCGGAUAGGAGCGUCCACCGCAUGGUGGGUGUUGGAGAGAUUUGGCGGUUUUGGAUGGACUCGCGGCUUAUCAGCUUGUUGGUGUGGUAAUGGCUCACCAAGGCGACGACGGGUAGCCGGCCUGAGAGGGUGACCGGCCACACUGGGACUGAGACACGGCCCAGACUCCUACGGGAGGCAGCAGUGGGGAAUAUUGCACAAUGGGCGCAAGCCUGAUGCAGCGACGCCGCGUGAGGGAUGACGGCCUUCGGGUUGUAAACCGCUUUCAGUAGGGAAGAAGCGAAAGUGACGGUACCUGCAGAAGAAGCACCGGCUAACUACGUG